GCCAAGUCAACCGAAGGCUGCGGGACUGGAAAAGGUGUUGAACAGUAGAUGGGCACCAGGGUUCAGGUUCUGGGUUAGCCGUGAGUGAACCGUGUCACCUGCGUCUUCUUGGAUGUAGUGUUUUCUGUGCGCCCCUGUGUGUUGUUUUGGUUUGAUUUCAAGUGAGGCCCCUUGCUAAGCUCUUUUACGAGCGUUAUCUCAUUUAAUCCUCCCCAGAAUUGUGUGGUGCAGGUGUAAUUUCUAUCUGCAUUUGAUAAACGAGGAGUCUGUAAAUGAUGAGUAGGAAGACUAAAAACCACAGCCCAAGUUUCCCUUCUAGUAAAUUGUGGGGGCAAAACCCAGACUCAUGUCUGACUAUCUUUAGCACGAGCUCAUAACCAGCAUAUGGCAGGCCUUGGCAGACUGGGACCCACCGUGUGUUUUCGUACAGCCCGAGAGCUAAAAUGGUUUAUCUGUUUUUAAGUUGGAAAAAAAAAAAAUCAAAAGAA
Long non-coding RNA from Lutra lutra (Eurasian river otter), 488 nucleotides. RefSeq lists it as uncharacterized. The record is from RefSeq and is a predicted model, not a curated record. NCBI's taxonomy places the organism in Eukaryota, Metazoa, Chordata, Mammalia, Carnivora, Mustelidae. The transcript has 2 exons.